Long non-coding RNA from Harpia harpyja (harpy eagle), 3667 nucleotides. RefSeq lists it as uncharacterized. NCBI's taxonomy places the organism in Eukaryota, Metazoa, Chordata, Aves, Accipitriformes, Accipitridae. The transcript is spliced from 7 exons. The record is from RefSeq and is a predicted model, not a curated record.
CUCUUUUGGCUUCUCUUUGCCUGUAGAACCAGAAAUGAAUGCAUUAUCCUUUCACAUUGCUUUGAUAAAUCUCAUUCCCUUUAGGAUUAAACAUUCCUGAACGUUUUUAUGCCUCACUGAGCUCUUUUAAACAAACAUAAAUUAAUUCUUUAGCUCAAAAUUUAUACUCGUGAGACCUAAUUCCCCUUGCCCCUAGCAUUAGGGGCCCUCUCUGGAAGGAAACGGGAGACCUGGUUACCUGGGAUAUGGAGAAGGCUGAGGUACUCAACAACUUUUUUGCCUCAGUCUUCACCAGCAACUGCUCCAGCCACACCGCACAAGUCACAGAACACAAAGGCAGGGACUGGGAGAAUGAAGAACUGCCCACUGUAGGAGAUCAGGUUCGAGACCAUCUAAGGAACCUGCAGGUGCACAAGUCCACAGGAACUGAUGAGAUGUGUCCACGGGUCCCAAGGGAACUGGUGGCUGAAGUGGCUCAGUCACUAUCCAUCGUAUUUGAGAAGUCAUGGCAGUCCAGGGAAGUUCCCACUGACUGGAAAAGGGGAAACAUAACCCCCAUUUUUAAAAAGGAAAAAAAGGAAGACCCAGGGAACUACAGGCCCAUCAGUCUCACCUUCUGCCUGGCAAGAUCAUGGAGCGGAUCCUCCUGGAAACUGUGCUAAGGCACGUGGAAAAUAAGGAGGUGAUUGGUGACAGCCAACAUGGCUUCACUGAGGGCAAAUCGUCCCCAACAAAUUUGGUGGCCUUUUGCGAUGGGGUUACAGCAUUGGUGGAUAAGGGAAGAGCAACUGACAUCAUCUACCUGGACUUGUGUAAAGCAUCUGACACUGUUCCGCAUGACAUCCUUGUCUCUAAAUUUGAGACACAUGGAUUUGGUGGAUAAGGAAUUGGCUGGAUGGUCACACUCAGAGUUGUGGUCAACGGCUCAGUGUCCAAGUGGAGACCAGUGACGAGUGGCGUUCCUCAGGGGUCAAUAUUGUGACCGGCACUGUUUAACAUCUUUGUUGGCAACAUGGACAGUGGGAUUGAGUGCACUCUCAGCAAGUUUGCCAACGGCACCAAGCUGUGUGGUGUGAUUGACACGCUGGAGGGAAGGGAUGCCAACCUGGUCUAGUGGAAGAUGUCCCUGCCCAUGGCAGGGGGGUUGGAACUAGGUGAUCUUUAAGGUCCCUUCCAACCCAAACCAUUCUAUAAGUCUAUAAUUAUUCUAGUCAUGUUCCUUUGUGCAAAGUGACCAUAAUGUUACUCUUCUGAUAUCUUACAUACCUGCUUUGUGCACUUAGAGAGGUACAGAGAUCAUGCAUGGCACUGAGCAGUGGGAAGCAAGACAGUUUGAUUCUGCAGUGUCCUACAGGGGCAAGUUGGAUGGUUAGAUGUCAAACAUCAAUUUUAGAUGCAAAUCCAGGACACUUUUGUGCUUUGUGCAAGUGGAAAUGCAGGUUUAACCACUAGGUACUACCUACUCUGUGACUUAGCAUAUCUCCACUGAAUUCAGGCUAAGCUGAAUGCACAUAUAGACAAGAGUUCACACCUCAAAUACUUAUACACAAAUAUCUGCAAAAUUGUUACUGGCAUAACAUGACUCAGCUCUCUUGAAAUAAUUGAGCCAUCUGAUUUAUACCACUAAUUUUUGUUCACUGUGCUGUAAACUCCUGGAAGCUGACCCUGUUCGAAAGAAUAUGAUAUAGAAAACAGAUUUUUUUUUUUUUUUUUUUUUUCCCCCUGCAGGGAAGGUACCCCACUGAAAAUAAUAUCAAACUUAAAACACUACAAAUCUCUACGAGAGUGCUGCAGUUCCACACAGCCAAGUUUUCCUUUGCCUUUAUGGACACGCUAGGUACCUCUCGACUUUGCUGGUGUGUGUAUUCAUUUAUAUUCAUGUACACAGUGCUGAUCUCAUUCGAAAUAAUAGCAUGUGCUGCUGGUCAUCCACGCAUGCUGCGAGUGGCCGCUACCAUACCAGCAUGUGGGGGGAAUCCUUUGGUCUAACUGGUUUGCUCGCUUGCAGCCUCCACGCAGGGGCUUCAGAGGUAGAGAAGUGUACGGCGAGGAGCCGAGGGGGACGACGUCUGCUGCCCACCCUGGCACCGCUCUGCGGGGCAGCUUCUGGACAAGAAGCAUGUAGCAUGGUAACAUGCACUGUACUACUCGUGCACCUGAGCAGCAGACCUCUGCAGGGAUUUUGCUGAUUAUCCCCAAGAGCAUGGACGUGGGGGAGUGGCAAGUUGGGCUGAGCUUGAAAAGGGCUGUGCCGGAGAAAGUAGCAAGGACUGUUAGAGGAAAUGGCCAUUUUCACUAACGUCUUACAACUGAAUACUUUGACCUGGUCAGAGCACAGGCAUCAGACUUUUGGGUGAAACCAACAUCGGAAAGGUACUCCAGGAGGACAAUUCCUGUGCUCCAGCCCGUCGGCACAUGGGACCAGACUGGAAAACCCAACCACACGUACAAUAUGGAUGUGAGGUCCUCAUUACCAGCUGUAGAUCUGCUCCCGUUUGGCUGUUUAGUUUUCUAAUGUAGAUACAGCCAUCUGACACCCAGAAUCCAUCAGCAGGGAGAAAAUGGAAGAGGCUAUAAGAACAAAAACUCGCAGUGGUUGAAAGUGUUAAACUGGAUCCAUAACGAGAAGAACAAAUUGAUUAAGCAACACACCAGUUAUGGAAAAGACUCAAAAAUAGCACCAAAGAGAGGACCGGGCAAUUCUGUGAAUUUCAACUCUUUGAUGAACCAUCAUUCAAGGUACAAAAUACACACCUGCAAAGCCAAUGAUCUGAGAAUGCUUGAAAUGGUGAUGGAGCUGACUGCCACAUUCACACCUCACUAUCUGGAGUACUUUUUACAUGGAGGCUGACUCAGCCGUACUGGAGGUGAAGAGAAGUCUGAUCUGCUUCUCUCUGUGCGAAACUUGGAAAUGGCAGUGGAGCGCCUACACAGGUACCACCUGAAUGACACCGCCCUGUGUUGCUCUUCACCAUCUUGGGCUUAGCAGCUCCACUAGCUCAGGAGUGAACCCACUGCACUCCGCUACACCCUGCACUUCCCGAUCCCUGCAAGCAUCCUAUCUAACUUCACAUGUUUAACCAAAGCACCCAGGUUAGCACUCCUUUGAGCUGUCAGUGAGAGAAGUGUCUGGGAAGACCCAGCUUAGCUGUGCUGAGCUGCUUCCUGGCACUGCCUGCUUGCACUGAGUACAGGUGGGGUCUGGGGGUAGUAGAUGCUUACCCUGGGGGGCUUAGCCCAGUGCCAUGGUGAGGCAGGAUGAACCUGGGACAAAAGGCUUGAUUGCUGCAUGUAUUUGAAGACCAAAAGCUGCAGCUACACCUGUGAGGAUUUUUUAAAAUCCCUCACAAUUGAUUAGAUUCACAGAGGUCCUGAGUCACUGACUCAGGGAGCUGCCAAACCUAUGAUCCUGUGCCAUUUAACUAGAAAAUGCUUUUUUUUAAACCUAUUUACUGAGAUCAAUUUGAAUAGCUUGGCAUUUGUUUGCUAGGGGGAUUUUUGGUUAAUUCUCUCCGUUCAUACCUAAAUAUUUUGUGCAAGCACAGUGGGAAUAUAAGUGCCCUUCGGGCUGCCUGUAAAGACAAAGGUUGAUGGGACAGACAGUAAAGUUAUCCCAUCAUUUUCCCUAGUACCUCUUAGCUCAUCUUGCAGUCUCCAGAUGGGCUAU